This 459-nucleotide ribosomal RNA is filed under the name uncultured bacterium. RNAcentral describes it as "SSU rRNA". It matches the Rfam family "Bacterial small subunit ribosomal RNA", at positions 26 to 518 of the family's 1533-position model. The record is from RNAcentral.
AGAAUCAACGCUGGCGGCGUGCCUAACACAUGCAAGUCGCACGAGAAAGGGGAGCAAUCCCUGAGUAAAGUGGCGCACGGGUGAGUAACACGUGAAUUAUCUACCUCCGAGUGGGGAAUAACCUAGAGAAAUCUGGGCUAAUACCGCAUAACACUUACGAGUCAAAGCAGUAAUGCGCUUGGAGAGGAGUUCGCGGCAGAUUAGCUAGUUGGCGGGGUAAUGGCCCACCAAGGCAAUGAUCUGUAUCCGGCCUGAGAGGGCGCACGGACACACUGGAACUGAAACACGGUCCAGACUCCUACGGGAGGCAGCAGUGGGGAAUUUUGCGCAAUGGGGGAAACCCUGACGCAGCAACGCCGCGUGGAGGAUGACGCCCCUUGGGGUGUAAACUCCUUUCGAUCGGGAAGAUGAUGACGGUACCGAUAUAAGAAGCCCGGCUAACUUCGCGCCAGCAGCCGC